RNAcentral lists this ribosomal RNA (322 nucleotides) under uncultured eukaryote. RNAcentral describes it as "partial 18S ribosomal RNA". It matches the Rfam family "Eukaryotic small subunit ribosomal RNA", at positions 1470 to 1796 of the family's 1831-position model. The record is from RNAcentral.
CCCUUAGAUGUUCUGGGCCGCACGCGUGCUGCACUGAGUGGAUCAGCGGGUCAGGUUGCGCGAAAGCGUUUCCUAAUCUUGAAAUCCGCUCGUGAUGGGGAUUGACGGUUGCAAUUUUCUGUCAUGAACGAGGAAUACCUUGUAAGCGCGAGUCAUCAUCCCGCGCUGAAUACGUCCCUGCCCUUUGUACACACCGCCCGUCGCUCCUACCGAUUGAGUGGUCCGGUGAGGCUUUGGGAUCUGAGCGGAAAGAGCGUUUCGCUCGUUCUGCCCGGAAAACUCAGUCGAACCUUAUCAUUUAGAGGAAGGAGAAGUCGUAACA